GUACCCGCUUUGGCAGCACAUAUACUAAAAUUGGAGCGAUAUAGAGAAGAUUAGCAUGGCCCCUGUGCAAGGAUGACAUGCAAAUUUGUGAAGUGUUCCAUAUUUUU
This 107-nucleotide small nuclear RNA is filed under the name Tupaia belangeri chinensis (Chinese tree shrew). Lineage: Eukaryota; Metazoa; Chordata; Mammalia; Scandentia; Tupaiidae. The record is from RNAcentral.